GUGCCAGCCGCCGCGGUAAUACCGGCAGCCCAAGUGAUGGCCGAUCUUAUUGGGCCUAAAGCGUCCGUAGCUGGCUGCGCAAGUCCGUCGGGAAAUCGACGUGCUCAACGCGUCGGCGUCCGGUAUAAACUACACGGCUUGGGGCCGAGAGACUCAACGGGUACGUCCGGGGUAGGAGUGAAAUCCUGUAAUCCUAGACUGACCACCAAUGGGGAAACCACGUUGAGAGAUCGGACCCGACGGUGAGGGACGAAAGCUAGGGUCUCGAACCGGAUUAGAUACCCUAGUAGUCC
This 293-nucleotide ribosomal RNA is filed under the name uncultured bacterium. RNAcentral's name for it is "partial 16S ribosomal RNA". It matches the Rfam family "Archaeal small subunit ribosomal RNA", at positions 455 to 747 of the family's 1478-position model. The record is from RNAcentral.